GUGGGUGUGUGGGGCUUGCAGUGAAUUAGGUAACUAUGGGGUGAACCAGUGAAUUUAGAAGAGAAGCUGAACUCUUUCAUGCAAAAAUCUGAGUCUCAAUUCAACAACUUGGCUUAGCUACUAUCAUAGCUGGUUCUAACUUUCAAAAAGGGAGUGAACUAGAACCAAAAUUUUGGCUAGUAAGCUAAUGAGCAGACGGAAGGGCAUGUGGUACCUAGGUAUAACAGGCUCGACUUUCCUUAAUUUGAUGGUUCCCAUGAUUCGCUCGGGUGGCUUAACUGUUGUGAACAGUUCUUCCAUAAUCAACGUAGUAAAGAGGGCGAAUAAAAUCAAUCUAGCUACUUUGCACAUGAUGGGUGAGGCUCAACUAUGGUAUUACAGACCUGAACAAAAAGAGAUAGGGUUGCAAUGGCAAGCGUUUAAAGAUUAUUGCAACCUGCGAUUUGGGCCCCAUGUGAGCAACAAUCCUUUGAGAGAAUCGGUGAACUUGAAGCAAACAGAGUCGGUGGAAGGAUAACAGCAAUUUCAGUCAACAAGGGUAACUUUUGUUCGCACUGAUCAAUAAAUUGACCUUUUCACUGCUGGGCUAUCUGAUAAUAUUCGGUUGGAAGUAGAGUUGUAGAAUCCUCCGAAUUUAAUUAUUGCCUUGAAUUUUGCCUGUGCUUUUGAGAAGCAAUUGCUCUCAGUUCAAUUAGAUACUAAAAGAACUUUUAUUGGAUGAUUUGAAAUAUUAAACCAUAUGUUGGGGGAGCUUAACGAGAUUCGAAGGGAGUGGAAGCUAGUGUUGUAGUGACUUCGACUAUGGGUAGUGCUUUAACUCCAUUCGUUAAACAGCUUAGCAAGGUGGAGAUGACUGAAUGUCACGCUGAGGGAUUGUUACAACUAUGAUGAGCGUAUACACUCAACCACUGUUGCACGAAAUUAUUUUGGCUUGAGUUAUUGAACCCUGGACCACUUGGAGUUGGCGGGAAUCAUUGAUUGAAUUUCGUUUGCUUAUCCACAUUUCAAGCUUGUGAACACAGUGGGAGGGGACACGAGAUU
RNAcentral lists this unclassified non-coding RNA (1041 nucleotides) under Hevea brasiliensis (rubber tree). The record is from RNAcentral. Lineage: Eukaryota; Viridiplantae; Streptophyta; Magnoliopsida; Malpighiales; Euphorbiaceae.